UUCAACGUCAGGUAAACAGACCACGAUUCGUCAAGUUCUGAGGUUGUUGUUGUUUUUUUUAAUUGUUAAAACGAAUAAGUUUUGGAUUCGGAGACGUUCACACAUUUACAACCAGGCGGACACAAGCGGACUGGACCACACUAACUGAUAAUUUCCUCCUACACUCAAGAGGAACGCAGCAGGUAUGACCCAGUCUGCCAGGACGGGACUUCAGCCUCCUCAAAAGACUGCACACACCAAUGAGAACACUCCUGUGGAAGGUAAGAUGAAGAUCCUGUCAUUCAAAAGGGAACCAGGUUGCCCUAAGAAGACUGAACUAUCUGUGGCCAGCGAAAUAAUCUUUUGUCCCAAGUCACCUGGUCAGCCCAAAAAUCAAACUGUACAAACUGUAAUUGACUUUCCUACAAGUCGAAUUACCAUAAACAAAAGAGGAUGCCCUAAAGAGAAACGUUUGCAAACUCUAGAGGAAUAUCCCCUGAAAAACAAAAGGAACUGUCCCAAAAGGGGACCUGGGUGACCAUUUACACCCCAAUAAGGGACCCCCUCUUGUUAAAAACUUCAUUAAGCCUGCAAAAAGAUGUGGACACACUAAAAAGAAAGCAUUACAAACUGGGGGAGAAAUUCCCCUGAAAAACCAAAUUAAGUGCACCAAAAAGGGACCAGGGUGACCCAAGAAAGAUACCUUACAGCGCCGUGAGGGACACGCCUUUUAUUAACAACAUGAUCAGGUCUGCAAAAAGAGGACGAGGACGCCCCAUAAAUUGCUCUGGACAAAAUGGAGAAGAGUUAAAAAAUGAAUAGGAGAACAUGAGUUGGAAUGAUGUUGACUGCAAACAAGUCAAAGAGGAGCCACCAGACCCUCAGAUGCAUGAAAUCUGCCACAUGACAAGGUUUUGGAAUUGGUAAUUCGAAGGCCUGGAGGCAUUUGUUAAAGGAGAUUCUGGGCCAUGCUUAACUGGACACUGAGGCAACACCACAAGCUGAGGCAACAGGAUGCAACACAACCUUACAUCUACAGGACACUCCAGAGUUUCACCCUUGUCUGUACUGCACUGUCCACUUCACCGAGCUUGGCUUCCUGCAGGAGAAUUUCAGGUAUCAUCACUGAAAUGAGCACUAUGGUAUAGUUAGCCAAAUGUCCUCUAGAUAUCAGUCCUUAAAGUACUCUCCAGUACUUAUCUGUCCUCAGUGCAGUCCUAUUUCCCAGACUUUGAUGUACUUCACAGUCCAUAAGAAACUCCUCUGCCCAGGAAACUCCAUAAAUUUCCAGUCUGUACGCAGCUUUAAUUACCUGAAGAACCUGAAGAAUCACUGUCAGAGUUGGCAACAUAUCAGUUCAUAUCUUCAAGGGGCACAUCCAAUGCUCGGACUGUAGAGGGGGUUUCUGUAAGUCCAGGGGACAGGGGACUCAUAUGAAUAUACACUCAAGAUUCCAGCCGUAUGAGUGUGAUGUGCACAAAAAAAACAAAAUCUCUGAGAUGAGCCCUCUGCAUAAACAGGUUUGCAUGCAUACAAGUGAGAAACGUUACAACUGCUCCAAAUGUGGGAAGCCCUUUGCAUUCAGGGGAUCUUUAAGCAAACAAAAACAAACCCAUUACCAAUCUGGGGAAGGCUUCAGUUGUACAUGAUGUGUUAAGAGCUUCAUCAGCAAGGAUCCAUCUGAAGAUGAGUCAGUGUGCUGAAUCUGGGCUAAGUGUGGCCAGCUUGCAGGAACUGCAGGUACAUGCAAAACAACACACUGGAGAAAAGCUGCAAGUUGUGCAACAACAGAUUCAAAUACAGGGAUCACAUUACAACCACCCAUGUAUCUAUCCACACUGAUGGCCAUACAAGUUGAGUAGAAAUACGUGCAAAACAUUUCCCUACAUAGUGGCAUAGUUCACUAAUAGUUUAACUGGUUGAAUAAUAAAUAAAUAAUUAACCCAUAAGGCAUUUAUUGCAAAGCAAUAAUGAAGAAAUUCCAUUGAUAGUUCUUCAGCAGUUUGUUUAUUCCUUUUUUACUGAGGCUUACUGUUUACAAAUGAUUCACUACAAACACAAAGAAGCAUGUUUUUAUAGAAUACAGCAUAUAUAAAAAACUGUACAGUUAGAUUUGUUGAAAAAGGUUUUGUACACUGGAAGGUUACUUAUGUCCGUGAGAUAUGGAAAUAAAACAAGUUUUAGUUGCAGCAUAUUUACAUGAUCCUUUACC
Molecule: long non-coding RNA, 2191 nt
Organism: Xiphias gladius (swordfish)
Lineage: Eukaryota; Metazoa; Chordata; Actinopteri; Istiophoriformes; Xiphiidae
Exons: 3
Source: RefSeq, a predicted model, not a curated record